This 443-nucleotide ribosomal RNA is filed under the name uncultured bacterium. RNAcentral's name for it is "partial 16S ribosomal RNA". It matches the Rfam family "Bacterial small subunit ribosomal RNA", at positions 339 to 795 of the family's 1533-position model. The record is from RNAcentral.
CUACGGGGUGCAGCAGUGGGGAAUAUUGGACAAUGGACCAAAAGUCUGAUCCAGCAAUUCUGUGUGUUUGAUGAAGGCCUUCGGGUUGUAAAGAACUUUAAGUAGGGAAGAAGAAAGUGACGGUACCUACAGAAUAAGCGACGGCUAAAUACGUGCCAGCAGCCGCGGUAAUACGUAUGUCGCAAGCGUUUAUCCGGAAUUAUUGGGCAUAAAGCGCGUCUAGGCGGUUUACUAAGUCUGAUGUGAAAAUGCGGGGCUCAACUCCGUAUUGCGUUGGAAACUGGUAGACUAGAGUAUUGGAGAGGUAGGCGGAACUACAAGUGUAGAGGUGAAAUUCGUAGAUAUUUGUAGGAAUGCCAAUGACGAAGGUAGCUUACUGGACAAAUACUGACGCUGAAGCGCGAAAGCUAGGGGAGCAAACAGGAUUAGAUACCCGAGUAGUC